UGCCAGCCGCCGCGGUAAUACGGAGGGUGCAAGCGUUGUUCGGAAUUACUGGGCGUAAAGAGCAUGUAGGCGGAUGAAUUAGUCAGAGGUGAAAGCCCCGAGCUCAACUUGGGAACUGCCUUUGAUACUGUUUAUCUAGAGUCCGAGAGAGGUUAGUGGAAUUCCCAGUGUAGAGGUGAAAUUCGUAGAUAUUGGGAAGAACACCAGUGUCGAAGGCGGCUAACUGGCUCGGUACUGACGCUGAGAUGCUAACGCGUGGGGCGAAAACAGGCUUAGAUA
Molecule: ribosomal RNA, 279 nt
Filed under: uncultured bacterium
Lineage: Bacteria
Description: partial 16S ribosomal RNA
Rfam family: Bacterial small subunit ribosomal RNA
Source: RNAcentral